GAUGAACGCUGGCGGCGUGCCUAAUACAUGCAAGUCGAGCGAACAGACGAGGAGCUUGCUCCUCUGACGUUAGCGGCGGACGGGUGAGUAACACGUGGAUAACCUACCUAUAAGACUGGGAUAACUUCGGGAAACCGGAGCUAAUACCGGAUAAUAUAUUGAACCGCAUGGUUCACUAGUGAAAGACGGUUUUGCUGUCCCUUAUAGAUGGAUCCGCGCCGCAUUAGCUAGUUGGUAAGGUAACGGCUUACCAAGGCAACGAUGCGUAGCCGACCUGAGAGGGUGAUCGGCCACACUGGAACUGAGACACGGUCCAGACUCAUACGGGAGGCAGCAGUAGGGAAUCUUCAGCAAUGGGCGAAAGCCUGACGGAGCAACGCCGCGUGAGUGAUGAAGGUCUUCGGAUCGUAAAACUCUGUUAUUAGGGAAGAACAAAUGUGUAAGUAACUAUGCACGUCUUGACGGUACCUAAUCAGAAAGCCACGGCUAACUACGUG
RNAcentral lists this ribosomal RNA (497 nucleotides) under uncultured bacterium. RNAcentral describes it as "partial 16S ribosomal RNA". It matches the Rfam family "Bacterial small subunit ribosomal RNA", at positions 28 to 507 of the family's 1533-position model. The record is from RNAcentral.